This 471-nucleotide ribosomal RNA is filed under the name uncultured bacterium. Its description in RNAcentral is "partial 16S ribosomal RNA". It matches the Rfam family "Bacterial small subunit ribosomal RNA", at positions 28 to 507 of the family's 1533-position model. The record is from RNAcentral.
GACGAACGCUGGCGGCGUGCUUAACACAUGCAAGUCGAACGGAAAGGCCCUGCUUGCAGGGUGCUCGAGUGGCGAACGGGUGAGUAACACGUGGGUGAUCUGCCCCUUACUUUGGGAUAAGCCUGGGAAACUGGGUCUAAUACUGGAUAGGACCAUGCUGUAGGUGGUGUGGUGGAAAGAUUUUUUCGGUAAGGGAUGAGCUCGCGGCCUAUCAGCUUGUUGGUGGGGUAAUGGCCUACCAAGGCGUCGACGGGUAGCCGGCCUGAGAGGGUGGACGGCCACAUUGGGACUGAGAUACGGCCCAGACUCCUACGGGAGGCAGCAGUGGGGAAUAUUGCACAAUGGGCGCAAGCCUGAUGCAGCGACGCCGCGUGGGGGAUGACGGCCUUCGGGUUGUAAACUCCUUUCAGCCAUGACGAAGCCUCUUUUGGGGUGACGGUAGUGGUAGAAGAAGCACCGGCUAACUAUGUG